This 26056-nucleotide long non-coding RNA is filed under the name Brachypodium distachyon (stiff brome). RNAcentral describes it as "long non-coding RNA (BDIS_LNC001799)". The stretch from base 12390 to 12514 matches the Rfam family "MIR1120/MIR1122 microRNA precursor family". The record is from RNAcentral. Lineage: Eukaryota; Viridiplantae; Streptophyta; Magnoliopsida; Poales; Poaceae.
GAUAAAAUACCAAAUGGCUAGAUGCAGAAUAUCAGAGAGUAAAGUGGCCUUCGAAUCAAACAAUCUUUUUCAUGAGAUCCUCGUUGUAUACAUCAUCAUCAUGGUAGUACAAAUCACACCAGCUAUCCACACUUCAUAGUUGCAUGGUCGAUCUCGUUGACUACUUGCCGGGGACGAAGUUGGUGGCGAAGGCCCACGCAUUGUUGUUGACAGGGUCAGCAAGGUGGUCGGCGAGGUUCUCAAGUGGGCCCUUGCCGGUGACAAUGGCCUGUACAAAGAAGCCGAACAUGGAGAACAUGGCGAGACGGCCAUUCUUGAUCUCCUUCACCUUGAGCUCUGCGAAUGCCUCGGGGUCGUCGGCAAGGCCGAGUGGGUCAAAGCUGCCGCCGGGGUAGAGAGGGUCAACGAUCUCGCCGAGCGGGCCACUGGCAACACGGUAUCCCUCGACGGCGCCCAUGAGAACGACCUGGCAGGCCCAAAUGGCGAGGAUGCUCUGGGCAUGGACGAGGCUCGGGUUGCCGAGGUAGUCAAGGCCCCCCCUCAGUGAAGAUCUGAGAGCCGGCCUUGAACCAGACGGCCUCGCCGAACUGAACACCAUUGCGGGCGAGAAGCUCAGGGAAGACGCAACCGAGCGCGCCAAGCAUGGCCCAACGACAGUGGAUCACCUCAAGCUCGCGGUUCUUGGCAAAGGUCUCGGGGUCCGCUGAGAGCCCGGCGGUGUCCCACCCAUAGUCGCCGGGAAACUCACCGGUUAGGUAACUCGGGGGCUCGCCAGAGAGCGGGCCGAGGUACAGCACACGGUCGGAGCCGUACCACGGGCUGCUCGAGGAGAUUGGCUUGGCCUUGGCGGCGGUCUUGCGCAUGGUGCCCCGGCCUCACCGAAGAGAGUCGAUGACGGCAUGUUCUUCACCGUCUUGCCAGCGAAGGCCGAAGAAGAGAGAGACAUGGUAGUGGCUGCCAUUGCGCUAGCUCUUAAAACGGUGGUGGUCGAACUCUAUGCUUCUAAUAGUAUUCUGUGAGUGUGAAGGACUGAAGAUGGAUUCAGAAGGGAGGAGGAGGGAGCUACUUAAAGAAGUGAGAAGAGAAGACAGAGGGAAUUGAUCUGUGCUGGCAAGAGAGACACAGCCUGAGAAAUCUGAUGCCACCAUCUCAUUGGUGCAGCGGCCAUCCGGGUACAGUUGGCGCAGGGACAUCCUCAAGGGGAUGGGAUAUAGUCGUGGGUAGGGCUUGGGGAUUCUGCAUGUGCACUACAAUUUGUUGUACAACUAAUAAGUUAUUGAGUUUAAUCAGUUAUUGAGGAUUCUGCAUGUGCACUUACAAUUUGUUGUACAACUAAUAAGUGUUAAUUUGCUUCCUCCGAAGGUAAUAGUCAAAAGAAGUUUUUUGUUGGUAAACUGAUAGUAAACAUGCUCGAUCAACAUGUAUUGUCCACAUAUGGAGUUAAAAAUGAAUUAGCCAGUCGUGGGGCCAUAAUUUAGCCUUUGCUCAUGUACAUAGUAACUUUAUAUAAUCCGUGCUUUUAUAGUAUUGACCGUGACGGGGUGAAACCAGAUGGCACGAUCCACCUGUAAGAACAAAAGGAUUCGGGUUAAAAGCUUUAGUGGGAUCAUUAGUGACUGAACUUUUGCUAAAUGGGGUCAAAAAAGAAAUCACACUAAAUGAAACCAAAGCUGUAAGAAACAUAAAUUGAGGGGUCAAAAAAUAGAAUUCACUCUUUUAUGAACGUGUGAGGAAAGAAAUUAUUUCAUAAUUAAUGAAAAUAAAAGUCAGCGGAAUGGGGAACAUUGUUACGCGAGGUUAUUGGGUUUGAGUAAUUUAGAUGAUUGUUUUUAAUCUUUGCUUGUAUAAUAAAAACAUCAUUUUUAUUUUGGCGUGCAGAAAAGAUGACAGAUAGAUCUUGUGAUCACAGAUAUGAUGCUCUAAUUGUUGCCUCUGAGUUUCUGUAUUCUAUAUCCGGGAAGCAGCCCCAUGCGUGCCCUGCAAAAUUAGUAUGACUAAGAUUGUUAUUUUUGUAUAUACUUCCUUGUUAAUUGGGAUCUUUCUUAUCGACCAAAUCACCUAAUCCCAUCAAAAUUCUUUUAUGUCCUUUUCAUUGGCCUGGGUAUUUCUAGAUUUUGUAGUUAGUUCUGGAAUAUCCAUCCCUGAAAAAGGAAUGCGGUACACGUCAUUUUUACGGUAAGUUUGUUCACUUCCACGAGAGUAUGUAUUGCUCUGAUAAAACAUUGGGGGACAUCACAAAGUGUCUACUUCAAAAUCUGACAAUCUUUUGUUCAUAAGAUCCUCGUAAUUAAUUUACAUCAUCAUCGUGGUAGUACAAGUGAAACCAGCUACACACACUUGGUCGCGAGCAUAGUCGAUUUGCAUAUACACAUGUGCCUCUCAUUGACACCUUACUUGCCGGGAACGAAGUUGGUGGCAAAGGCCCACGCGUUGUUGUUGACGGGGUCGGCAAGGUGGUCAGCGAGGUUCUCAAGGGGACCCUUGCCGGUGACGAUGGCCUGAACGAAGAAGCCGAACAUGGAGAACAUGGCGAGGCGGCCGUUCUUGAUCUCCUUCACCUUGAGCUCAGCGAACGCCUCAGGGUCGUCAGCCAAGCCAAGGGGGUCGAAGCUGCCGCCGGGGUAGAGAGGGUCGACGAUCUCACCGAGCGGACCACCAGCAACACGGUACCCCUCGACGGCGCCCAUGAGCACGACCUGGCAAGCCCAGAUGGCGAGGAUGCUCUGGGCAUGGACGAGGCUCGGGUUGCCAAGGUAGUCGAGGCCGCCCUCGCUGAAGAUCUGGGAGCCGGCCUUGAACCAGACGGCCUCGCCAAACUUGACGCCGUUGCGGGCAAGCAGCUCGGGGAAGACGCAACCGAGCGCGCCGAGCAUGGCCCACCUGCAGUGGAUCACCUCCAGCUCCCGGUUCUUGGCGAAGGUCUCGGGGUCAGCCGAGAGCCCGGCGGUGUCCCACCCGUAAUCGCCGGGGAACUCACCGGUCAGGUAGCUCGGGGGUUCGCCGGAGAGCGGGCCGAGGUACAACACGCGGUCGGAGCCGUACCACGGGCUGCCUGAGGAGACCGGCUUGGCCUUGGCAACGGUCUUGCGCAUGGUGAUGCGGGCCUCUCCGAGCGCCGGCAGGUUCUUCACCGCCUUCCCGGCGAAGGUCGAGGAGGAGAGGGCCAUGGUGGCGGUCGCCAUUGAUGUACUGCUGUACCGUGCUCUCCUAAGAGUGUGAGGCUGGCUCUGGUGUGCGUGGAGAUGGUUUGAGAUGGGCAGAGGAGGUAGCUAUUUAACGGUGCUCUGUGGGUACAGAGAAGGGAAGAUGAUGAGAGAGAUGGCUAGAAAAAUCUGAAGCUGGGAUGCCAUUGGUGGAGUGGAGAUAUCGGCACAGUUGGCGCAGCGAGAGCCUCAAGCCGGUGGAGAUAGCUCAGACUUGCCAUGUGGAGAGGGGCUAUUGGGUGCCGUUGAUUUUCUCGUGGCUGAGGAUAUUGAUGUCGCUGAUAUUUUUUACUCGGACUGGAAGUUGCUGUUUUAGCCGUCAGAAGCUGUUAAAAAACGGAAACGUCGUGAAGGGGAUUGAUCGCCUCGUCUUGUGUCGUGUAUGUUUAGCAGUUGUUGUUUUCACUGUAUUUUCUUGGUCCUCACCGUAUCGUGCGUGGAUGUCGGUAAGAACCUGUAGAAAUGAAAUUCGUGUGCUUCUGCUUCUGAACCGAAACUGCGUAGUGCCAGCUACUGGAGACUGGGACUGGAGGGUGCAGGCUUGAGACGGCGUCAGUUUUGGGCCUAGUGAAACCACGAGGAGGCAUGCCUCCGCGCUCAAGCAGCCAUGGGCCUCAUUGUACUGGGUUGCGCAGCCUUUCAGAGUGGGCCGGAAGCAGGUAGAGUGCGGCUCGUUAUCUCCAGAUACGCAGCAGCCCGUCGCCCCGUCCUCAAACCGUCUAGUCAAAGGAAAAAAAAAGUCCUCAGAUGAGUCCAUCGUGCAGACAUUGGACUCUAGCUGCUCCCACCGGAUCACCGCAAAACCAAAACGAAAAACCCACGGUACCGAUCGACCUGGGCCUGCGGUACAACCAAAGCCCAAAAAGGAACCCACGGAGCGGAGCCGCCCGGGCCCUGCACGCUAUAGCAAGCAACAUCGUCCGUCCGUUUACUUUCCGAGGCCCACCUUUCCCACAGCUCAGAUCCAAAGGAAUCACACGCGCCCGAGCUCUUGAGAAUUCCAGAUCACGCAAGGGCAGCAAGGCGGCCACCGCACGGCACGGCAGUCGGCAGGCAACGCCCUUCCCGCCGUUCCGUCCGUUGGUUCCCGGGCGGGAACGUGCGCCCCCUCGUGAUCCGGCUUUUGCUUGCCCACACGCACUCCCGAGUACUCCCGGCCCGACUCAAUUAUCUUCGUCGCCUCGCUUGUCCCAUCGCUUCUCUCGCUGUCACAACCCAGUCCCUUCCGGAACGCCAAAACAGUCCAACCAACUUCGUCUUCCAGAGCUCAGCCAGCCAGCCGGCCACCACCAAGCACCAACGCCGCCCGUCCCCGCUGCUACCAUGUCCAUGUCGCUGCGCCUCGCUCUCCCCUCGUCAGCGCCCGUGCUCCCGCCGCGGGUGCCGCUGCCCGCCGGGAAUGCCGCCCGUCGCCCCUCACCCUCCCCGGUCCUCGCCACCGCCGCCGCCGCCUUGCGGACGGGCGCGCUCAGGUGGGUUCCUCUGUCCUCGCCCGGGUUUCGCGCCUGCACUGACGCCCGCGUAAUCGGCCUCGUGCUCAUGGUGAUGCGUGACUGUAUGUAUGCAGGGGAUGCGCUUCGCUGCCGCUGAAGCCGCAGCCGCCGGGCAUGAUGAUCACGGGCGCGGGCGCGGGGCGCCGGGGGUCCGCCGCCGUGUGCCGCGCGUCGUCGGCGUACCUCAGCCCGACCACCAUGCACUGGGUCUCCGCCGCGGCCACCGCGUGAGUGCCCCCCCUCCCUCACUCAAAAGUACUCUGCCUUUUUGGGUUCACCAGCUCGGCAACUGUUCGCUCUUUUGCCUGCGAGGACCGUGGCUAACUGCUAGCAUCCGACUGUAAAAUGCGGGAUCCUCGUUAUAGAUUCUGCGGUCUGUUGAUGUCGCUUGCUCAAAAAUUUCAUGGCACGCUACAGCGACAAUUGGAGUACUACUUACUUUUCUUGAUCAAUGAUCACGCGCUGCUAAUCUUUCUAUAUAGCGAGUAAAAAGGACAUCAUGCGAUGCAAAAAUAUAUGAAUGCAGAGCACCAAGGUAAUCUUUCUUCUGUAGCUGUCGAUGUCGUGACUUGAAAUAGCACCACUACUUGUUUUCUUCUUGAGGAUGAAUAGGCAUGUAAAGUUGAACACAACACAAAGUACUUUCUGCAAACUCAGCUAGUGCUGCUGCCUGGUGAAAAGUUGUGCUGUGCAGUUUAUUUGGGUUUUCAGUGAAGUGAAAUGAUUUAGAUCGCCACGUAAAUACAGUGUUAAACUCCCAGUACCCUUUAAUGAUUUAAUGAUUGUUCUUUUUGCAGGGUGCUCUUGCUUGCUAAAGGCACAGGCAUACACAAAUCUUUCCUCGUGCCCCUGUUUGCUCUUCAAGCACCUAGCAGUGUGGUCUCAUGGAUCAAGUAAGAUGCUGCUAUUUGGUGCAGAGAAUUAUCUAUACCUUUUCCUUCUCUUUGUUUCUCAUUGAUGUUUGUUCGUUUUAAAAUAAGAACACUGUCUUGAGGGCCUACUUAUUCUAUGGCAUCAAUUCCUAAUUUUAGGAGUGACUAUGGACUGUGGACUGCUUUUCUUGCUCUUUUGGUGCGCUUGUUCUUCUCCAUUCCAGGUAGUGUAAAAUAAGAUUCAUCAUAUAAAGGUUCAAGAUGGUGUAGGCUUACAGUUACUUUAUACCUUCAUAUCACUAUCACAGGUGAACUGGAGCUCCCAUUAUCAGCAAUGCUGCUUCUGAACGUUGCUCCUUACCAGAUGAUGAAUCUGAGGUACAUCACAGUAUCACAUUGCACUGUUUGGAAAUAAGAUCUUAGCAUCACUAGAACUAGUGCAUCUGUCAAAAUUGAAUUCUAUGAAAAUAUCACCAUGGCAUUAUUAAUAACUCGUAUUAAUAUAUCGAUGUUCUCAAUGAAACUAACUUGAGUUACCAUCUCGCUAUCAUGUUUCUGUACACUACUGUGUCAUAUGUGAAUAGCAGCAAGUACAUCCAACUGACUAUUCAGGAACCACUCCAUAGAGUAUUUUAGGUUUUCAGUUUAUGUCCUGAUUCUGAAAAUUGUCAUUUACCUUUUUGCUCAUGUGCUCACUUUCCAUGUACAGGGGAACUCAAGGUGGUGCGAUAGUGUCUCUGGCACUAGCAGCGUAUCUUGCCUUUCAGCACUUCACCCGGGCCGGAGGUUUGGGGAGAGCCUUUGAUCAGGGAUCGAUAAUUGCGACCUUGGCCAUCAUCUGCGUCACAGUUAUCAACGUGAUCCUGCUGUUCUGAGUUGGAUCAAGUUGGCAAGAGUUCGCUGCCCCUCAUUGUAGGUGUGGAGGGGGAGCAGGAGGUACUCAGGAGUGCAGAUAAAUAAAACCUUGUAAUGCAUCAUCCUGACAGACUUCCAAGCCCGUUUCAUCGUAAUAAGAAUCUUUACUGCUACUUAACUUGCAGUUGCGUCCGUGGUGGCUCGUACGUCGUCCCAACUUCACAGAAAUUACGUCUCUAUGCCACCGUCCGAACUCCGAUUUGUUUCUUCUCUUUCGUGUUCUCGUGUCUCGCCCAGCCCGCUGCCCACGCGCCACCGCUCCUCCUGCCCUGCGCGCCGCUGCCACCACCCACCUGCCUCUCCUCGCGCUCCUCCUCUGCUCGCACCGCCACCGCCCCGAUCUCUCUCUGCCAGCGUUGUCUCCUCCUCCUCCUCGCACACACCCGCCCAGAUCCACCUCCACCUCCUCGCACACGGCCCGCCCUGAUCCACCUUCUCCUCGCGCGAGGCCGAGGAGCGCGAGGAGGAGGCCGAGAUGCGCGCCGAGGCUGCCGCCCGCCAGGCCGAGAUCCGCCUCCUCCUCAUUGUGCUGCCGCCGUGGGAGAGCCGUCCUCCGCCGCGCCGCGUCCCCGUGACGCCACCUGCUCUCCCCCUUCUCAACGCAUCGAGUGCCCGAUGCCGCCAGCCGAGGCAAGGGUGCUCGAGACGUCCGCGAUGACUGCUUCGAAGUGGGAGGCAUCAAUAUUGUGUGGUAAGGUGAGUUCUCGAUUACUGCUUCCCCAUCCUCUUGUGUAGAAAAAUCUUUGUUUCACUAUUCUUUGAUAAGUAUGUGUGAGUGUGUCUUAAUGGUUUCUUCUGUUGGCUCUUUGUAGACUCUAGCUCUUUGUAAUCUUUUGUGCUUUAUGGAAUCCAGUAGAAAAAUCGGCAUUAGGCUGAUUUUAACUGAUAUUUCAAUCUCUUUCAUGCCUUUUAUGUUUGUAUUUUCCUGAUUACUAAUGGUUCACUAGCGUCAAUUCCAUCCGGUUAUUUAAUCAAACAAUAGCAUCUGUAUCAUUGUUUUCUCUUUCACUUUUGCUUGUUUUAUUAGUCUGUCCUAUAUGUGCUAAUGCUAGAGCUUGAAGUCUCUGCUACUGGAUAUUGGCAUUGAAAGAGCAACAGGAAUUGUCUGGUCUAUCACUGGAGGCAAUGAUAUAACUUUGGUGGAGGUAUUCCUGACGUGUGUGUUUUUUCUGCAUAUAAACUACAGUGUGUGUGGGUAUACAUAGCUACCAUCAAAGUUUGUUUCCUACAUGUUAGUGAGAAUCGAAAAUUGCUGGCUUUCAUAGCUCCCUGAAAGUUAAUACAUUUUGAUCCAAUUGGAUAUAUGUGUGAAGUUAUAUGUGAACUGAAUCCAGUAUUAUUGAUUCACUUUCAGGUGAAUGCAUCAGCUGAAGUUAUAUAUGAUCUUGUUUUUCUUUUUUGAGGGAUUAUAUAUGAUCUUGUUGAUCCUAUUACAAAUAUGAUAUUUGGCUCUGUUUUAGACCCAUCAUAUGCUGGUCAAGUAAGUUAACAAAGCAUUUGGUCAAGUAAGUUGACUUGUCAUAUGAAAUCUCAUCUUUUGACUGUACAGCCUGAACUUCUAAUACAACGGCAUCCAUGCGGGGAAGAUGAAUAUGUGAAGUCAGUGGCCGAGUUAAUUGAGAAGGAGCUAUCAAUUUUUACAAAUUCUGAAGAGGUCUGUGCAUUCCCUUCUCCCUCUUUUUGUUUUUCCUUUACUAUUUUUUGUUCAUCAAAUGACUUUCUAUUCGAUUUUUGGUAAAGUAGAAGGUAACAACUGUUGUAGAUUGAACAUUAUCUUAGUGUUAGGCAUCCUGUUGAAUAUCUCUUAAAUAAGUAUCCCAUCUACUGAAUGAUCUAUCUGCGGUCCGUCCUGGCAUUCAUUUGCUUGUCUCCUUUUGUGAUGAUGCAGCGAAUUGAGGAAUCAACAGAUGAUUUUUUUCUGUAUUACAUUUAGUUGCUCUUUGCAUGAUUCCUUUUUUUUACCAGCUUUGCAUGAUUCUUUUGGCAUGGAUGUUGACUGGGAGAUGAAAAAUAUACUUCAUCCAGGUUGAAAAGACAAACAUGGUUCUCCUACUGUGCUCCGUUUUCCAUAUUGUCGUAAUAACACCAAUAUACUGAUAACUAAACCCACUAGAGAGAAAUGUUUAUUAUAAAUGUUUUAAGUUUAAUUCGCUAAACAAUCUGAAAAUUAUGUACAAUCUGUAUAAGUUGAGAUAUAUUAGAAUAGUUUGAUGAGCUAUCAUAACGAUCCAUCUUAAUUAGGACCAAGACUUUAGCUGGUUACCUAGGUUACCUGUAGUCAAAAUUGUUUAAGGCAAAUUGUAUCAAGGUUUGAUGGUUAGAUUGACACUCCAAUUGUUUCUGUUCAUAGAUCUAUCAUCUACAAAUACUUCUUGUGUUGCAGGUUAUGAGCUAUGGCAAUCUUCGUAGAGUUCAAAUGUUGUGGUUCGAUACAGAACAGAAAAAAGAAGUCUCUUUUCCUCUCAAGAUGAGAGUAAGUAUCGGCAAAAAAUAAUAAUCUCUUCGUAGCGAUGCAAUUUCUUAUCACUCAGUCAUGAUGCAUAUAAGAGUAAGGGGAAUGGGCUGAUUUUGUGUAUAUUCUACAUUUUACUUUUCAGUAGUAAUUAGAUGAUUUAUGAUUUUCUUACAUCUCUCAAGGGAAGAUGUUGAGGGAGACCAUAAGGACACUACACAUUAUGUUGCGAAGAUAAUAUUGCUUUCCUGCUCUUAACACAGGACACCAGAGCAUGCAUUACAAAAUAAAUAUUCGAUGAGGUAUGGACGGUUGUCUUGAUGUGUUUAAUUUUGCAUUCUUUCCAAUAAUUUUGUUGGAGAACACGAGUGUCUUGACUUGUUUCGGUACUCCAACAUGGAUGCUUUGUGAUAUUUACAAUUGUGAGAAGAGGAUCCAUGGCCAAGUUCUUCGAUAAUAAUCGUUCAUGUGGAAUUUUGGAUUGUAUAUUGGUCCAUUGUAUUUUUUUUCCUCUCAUAUUGUCACAAUUAUUGAUUAUAUGACUUGGACUAUGUACAUGUUCAUAAGCAGUGGUGUCUCCUUAUCUGAUGAGGAUGACCAUGCAUCAAUUUUUCAUGUUUGUCAUUCUUCUUGUUAAGUUCUAGAAUGCUCAUUUUUCCGUUGCAACGCACGGGCACUUAACUAGCAAGAAUGAUUUGUGAGUUGUGACAUGGCUGACAGAUCUUCAUGUAUGGUAUAGUUUUGGUCUAUUAGUGUUCAGUGCUAUUCUAUGAUUAAUAUUUGCUCCCGUUUGUUGAUCUUAUUGUUGGAUUUUGCACCAAGAUUUUGGUGUCAACAGGUCUCAGCAGAACGUUGGCUACCGACAGAUAACACAGGGCAAUUGGUCUAGAUUCUGUCAUACUUGUAUACCUUUUCUACUCCCUCUAGUCCAUAAUAGGCGCUUGGGUUUUGUACUAACUUAUUAUGGAUCGAAGAGAGUAUAAAAUAACUUCUAGCAUAGGGUCACGGACCUCGCCAAGACUGUGACGAGCCUAUGGGUCCGCUGGAUCUGAAGGAUGCGGAUUGACCCACUUCGUUUUUUGUGUGGCCUCGGUUGUGAUAUCCUCGCCCAAGCUCAAUAGAUUGAUAGAAAACCUUUGCUAACAAGGUGCAUCUUCUUUUCUGGAAUCUCGUCUCAAUAAAACAUCUCGGUUCAGCGUGCUUAGCUUGAAGCAAUAUUGGUUUGGCGACCUUGUGGGGCCAGUCUAGAGCAUAGAGAGCUACGAGGAAUAACUACUUGGUUGGGUGAGUUGACCGACGGAGCAGGAACCUCCGUCCAUAUAUGAGGCACUCUUGCAUUACUAGAUUCUCAAUUUAAUUAAUUAAAUAUGUAUGUUUUUUAACAAAAAAAAACACCAUUAGUCCUUAUCAAAAGAACUUUCUAAUGAUUUUUUUAUUAUUUAGUUUAUAUUUAUUUAGCUAAAUUGACAAUCUAGUGAUGCGUGUGUGCCUCAUAUUAUGGGACGGAGGGAGUAAGCUCCUUAUUAACAGACUUCUGGUUAUGUUCCAGAUCUUGUUGCUGGCUCCUCUUACGGAGUUAUGGCAUCAAACUCUCGAAGCUGAAUUGGAAAUCAUGGGCUCCUAGUGGGUGAAGUUUUUCAUUUAUCUCUCUUGUUAGAACAUUGUUGGAUGACUGAGAGGGUGCCAAGAUGUCUGCGGCAACACGCCUUGAGGUGCUUGUUGUGCGACCAAUCAUUACAUCAUGGAUAGGGGCGGAGCCAUGAAAAAUUUGUAUGGGGACCAAGGUACAAAAAUACAUAGCUUAUAGUAUAAAAAACAUGUUGGUCCUGUGGCUCGGUCAUUUACCAUGGAUCAUUUCCUUACCAGAUACGCGCACCCUCUACGUGAUGUGUUGUUAUCGAUCUGAUCCGUUGCUGGUCCCUCUGUAGCGAAGACGUGUUUGUUAAAUGGUGGCACUUGAUUGUGCGGUACUUCUUGAGUGCCUCACGAAAGGUCACCUCGUCGAUCAUUUUGCUCAUGGCGUGGUGGAUCCAUAAGUACCGUCACGCAAUCGUCUUCGACAAUAUUUGACCCGACUUGAAUUGAGGCUAGUUAUAGCGUGAUUUCAUAAAAUUUCAAACUGAAUUCUUAUACCUAAUUCUGUGCCAAACAAGUUCAUUCUAAAAUCGUAUGAAAAUUUGAGAAUUAUAGAUCGAAAUGGCAGAUGCGAGUUUUUUUUUUUUAAACUUAGAUGCGAGUUGUCUGGCUGUCUUUUUUGCACAUGGGCCAGACAGAGCUAAUUUAUUUUCCUUGACACGCCCUCUCUCUUCUGCCCAUCUCGGUGCCGAGCGCCCCAGCCCCCUCGCUCCGUCGGUCGUCUUCCUCCUCGAGCGCCGCCACCCCUUCCUCUCCAUCCCGCUGCCGAGCGGCCCCAGCCCGUCUUCCUCCUCGCGCGGGCGUGUCCACCGCAGGUUGAUCUCCCCUUCGAUUCUUCCGCUCCCGGCCGUUUCUCCUCCCAUCACCCCACGAACGGAUCCCGCACCUUUAGCUCCCCGUUUCAUCUCCUUAAUCUUCCCCCAAUUCGUAACUGAGGGGAAAAUCAAGGUAGGGCGGGGCCGCCCUACUGGGUCCUCCGCCCGUGACGUCUGUUCCAGUACUAUUGUGUUACAUCGAGUGUAAUUUUGCCUGGUUAUUUGACCUGGAUUGUUGGAUUGUUGGAUUGAAUAGUAGUACUUCACAGCCGUGUUUUCUAGCAAGGUCAACAUCUCCUUUCCUGUUACUGAGCGUGCAAUCUGGGUUAUCGUAAAUUUCCGUAAGUGGAGAUAUUUGAAUAGUUCAGUUUGGCUUUGUUACUUAUGUACUGGAAAACCUCGUGCGUGCCAACAAACUAAUUCAAAACAUGUAUGUGAUAUACAAACUCUUUCUUCGCGGUAUAUGCAAUAUUGCAGUUUUUUUCAUGGGGUUUGUGUGGUACGUCAUAAAUCUUAAGUGACUGGACUUGUUAUGUACUUAUGUCAUUUAGCAUUUUUGUUUUACCAGAGUGUGGUAAAUCAUCAGUGCUGUAUUUAUACUUUCUGGAUUCAUUGACAUUGAGUACCUGGAAGUCUUGGGAGCAAUUUAUGGCAUUUAUAUAGUAGUACAUGUUGAUCUUCAUUCAUUCAGUCCUCUGAACUGUUAAGAACAAUGGCCUUGUCCAAAAGAUUCCCACCUUUUCAGUUUCAAUGUGUCCCACUCUUAGUACCCGACCGGCCUACUAUCUUGGUGUAAGAUAUACCAAACCAAUGUUAAGUUCAACGUUAGGACUUAGAACAUACUUCUGAGACCUGUUAAAGAACUGGGCCUGUAAACUUGGCAUCUGGUUCUUUUUUCCACACACAAAAAAUAAACAAUUGAGAUACCCAUGAAUGGUUUGUGCACUAUCCAUCUCUCCCUUUUUCAAAAGAUAAAUUUUGUGCAUGUCCUUUACAUUGGUUCCCUAGUACUCCCUCCGUUUCAUAUUAAAUGACUCAAAUUUGUCCAAAUAUGGAUGUAUCUAUGCCUAAAAAGCGUCUAGAUACAUGUAAUAGAAAGUCACUUAAUAUGGGACGGAGGGAGUAGUUACUUAUGCUAACAUGUUCAUCAUAACUGCUACAUUAUGGUUCAAAUGUGAAUAUAUUUUCCAGAAUAUGUUUCAGAUUUCCUCUCCAAUUUAUGUAUGUACUGCUGUGUAUGUAUGCUAAAUAUUUGGUGGCUUUGAGAUUAGUUAGCUGAUAAGAAAUUGAUCUCCUUGUAGCUUGUUUGGGCAUCUGUUCGUGCAGUAUGUCGGGGAAGCCAUCUGAUGAUAUGGCUGGUCAAGUGAGGCCUGAAGGAGAUGUUUCAGACGUGAAAGUAGAAACUGCCAACCAGAAUAAAGGAACUGAUAUGCCUUCACCACAGGAAGAGGUAUCAUCUUUUGUUAACAAUCGUAACGUUUAUUUAUCCUUUAGCAUUUAUGUAUACUUACAUGCUAUCAUUUGUAUUAUUUUGCUAAUUUAGCUUACAUUUUAAGACUGCCAAUAUUAUAUCCAUAACCACGAUGUAACUUAACCGGAUACUUGCAGGAGGCAGCAAUCAAGAAAAAAUAUGGUGGAGUACUGCCCAAAAAGUCACCACUUAUAUCCAAGGUAUCAAUGGCUUAGUAUAUUACUACGUUCUGCCAUAUAUACAAUUUCAUCAUCUGUUUAUAAAGCAGUAAGGGAAGUUAAAUUAUUUUUAGCUCCAUAUCCAUAUAAUUUCAUCUGCAUUAUGUCUAUCAGGAUCAUGAGCGAGCUUAUUUUGAUUCUGCUGAUUGGGCUCUGGGCAAGGUAUCGUACUGUUAUUUUGAAAAGCUAAAAGUAAAACUGAUAUUUGGAAGCAAUGUUAACUCUUACACUACAAUCUUGCUCCCUUGAUCCUUGGUUUCCUGCAGCAAGGAGGACAUCCUAAACCUAAAGGACCACUUGAAGCACUUCGACCAAAAUUACAGGUACUGACUGAAACUCUCCCUCAUUGCUUGGUACUCAUGAGAAUGUACUUGCCUUGUAUUUUGCUACCGUAGAGACUUAAUUUUUCUAUGGCAUUAGCUGCUAGCUGUUUGAUUAGGGUAUUUGGUGUUUUUUCAUUCUAAUAAUCAAUAGAGUUCAUGUCCAUAUUUUUUCUGUUGUUUGGCCCAGUAUUUAAACUGGAUUGAGUUUAAAUGAAAAGUCCCCUUCAUUGUUGUCUUUUUUUUUUUUGCUUAAGAGGCUCAUUUGUAGGCGAAUGUAGUGAUAGUUAUGAAGUUAACUUAUGCUAUACCAUACUCAUUUGUUGGCUUACAUCUUUAUCAAUUUUGUUACAGCCUACUCAACAGCAAGCCCGUUCACGUCGAUUUCUUCAUGCAUCUGCUGACAAUGAAGGUACUUGAUGUUACAAGAUGUCAAGCAAGAAAUCCUAAAUGUUUAUUUUGUCAUCGAUUCAAGCGUCACUUUUGCCUUGCAGAGGGGGGCAAUUCACCCACUGAGGCUACGAGCCAGAACCAGGAUUCCACCGAGGGCAAGGACGAGAGCAAGGAAUGAGUACAUGACGAGUAGCUCCAUGUUUUUUCCCAAACUGAACCAUGCCGUUUGAUAAGCCCGCGCCAUUUUGUGGCUGUAGUAAUAAGUACUCUAAUGCCCCUUAAUGCUCGCUGAAUUUUGAACCGCAUUGGAGACAUGCCGCGUCUACUGCGUUCUGCUGUUCCAUGUCUUGUACCUGUAACGAUUUGUGAUGGAAUUUGGAACAUUUUCGUGGCACUGAGUGUCUGCGCAGACAAAAUAAAAAUGUGAGCCUGUGAGAUGUUUCUUCCUUGUGCCACUACUGAUGAGUAGAACCAGAUUCCCUGAAACAAAAAAGAUGAGUAGAACCAGAUUCUUCUAACCUGCGGUGCUUGUUUCUUCUGGUGCUGCGCUGAGACGGUUCAUGUCUGAUGUUCGAAACCUGGGUGCCUGGCAAUAUCUGAACUAUUGAUGUUUUCCCGACUGCUGUAGGUUACGUAUUAUAUUUGAAUUUCAUAGGAUUUCAAGAGUUAUCAUGUAGGAGUAACUCAGUUUGGCGCUAUGGGAGUUUGUUGUCUUUGGACUCGUAGUUUUGCGAAAUUGCUGAUUUUCAAACAUGUUCCUUGACGAAUUUUCGAAACACAGUCCCAUCAUCGAAUCAAACAAAAACUGGAGCAAGCAUUGCUCUUUUAUUUUUGGAGAGGGGAUCAAGCAUUGCUAAUCGCCACCAAUCUGGAUGAAUCUCUGGAGUUUGACACGCCCUGGUCAAGCAUGUUGAGGAACCAACGACGGGGUGGGGUGGCCACCGAGUCGUGCACCCCCACCAAUCCCCCUGUUGACUCAUUUCUCCAUCUAAUAGUUUGUUGUGGACUCUUAUUCAUUGAGCCUAUAUAAAGAAGAGGAGGCUACCCCUCGUACGUACACUUGAGAUCAGAAAUUAAUAAAGAGCUCAUGUUCCUCUCUACUUGGUGUUCAUCUACUUUACUGUACUUCAUGAUUGUGCGUGUUUGAUUAGGAUCUUGGUGUGCAACCUCAGGACCGGUCAGCCGGCAAGAGUUGCACAACACGUUAUCAGCACGAGUCUCUACCCCCAGCCUUCAUCGAGCCUACUCCACGCAGGCUCUCGACAUAAAUCACGGAGGUAUUGGAUCCGAAAUUUUAUUGCAAAAAUGGAUUCCUCUUUGUGUUACGAUUCCGUUUUUGCUAUUAGAUUAUCUUUCGGAUUUUUCUACCCACGGUAUGGAAUUCCCUCGCGAGAUGUUGCCGACCAAGUCGCCGGCCAAUGCCGAUCAUCCUCGCCGCAGGAGGGACUUGUUGACCAUAACCAUGGGGAGACGGUGUCGCACUGUUGUGCUCACCGCCGGCCACCGCAGGCUCCAUGCCGCGAGCCGUCCCAAGCCACCCCAUGGAGCCGCUGCAGUGGAGCACGCCGUCGAGCGCUGCUCCUAGGCGCUGGCCUGGCCGCUGCUCCGAAGUCGUCACCUCACGCACGACGCCGCACCAGCUGCUUCAAUGCACGAGCGCUGCCCUCUGGAUGUGCGCGGGCUGCUGCAAGCACUGGCCGUGCGGGAACUGCCGCUGGCCACGAGCACCUCCGCUGAGUGCCGCUGCUAGAUAUCGCGCCUCGCCAACGCUGCCGCCAGACAUGUUUGGGCGUGUGUCGCCGCGUGCCCCCGCGUGCACUGCAGUCCCGAUGCCAUCGAACCGGUGGCCGUCAGGCUCCGCCGCGUUGGUGCGAGGCCUCGCUGCGCACCCCUGCUGGCGCUGCCGGCCCUGGACGCGCGCACCGCCCGGGCCGCCUCAGGAGCGUGCCAGGCACGAGCGCGUGCCGCCGCCGCCGUCCCCACCUUGUGCGCAGGCUGCCGCUCAGGCACCGCCGCCGCGCCUCGACAACCCCCGUGCGCGGGGCCGCCGCCGUCGCUCCAUUUGCGGGCACGAGCGCGCGGGCGCAGGCCGCCACUGAUGCCGCCUCAGUCGCGGGCACAGGCCGCCGCCGCCACCCAAGGAGAAACCCUAAUGAGGGCUGGCGCGGCUGGGCUGGGCCAGGCGAGGCAGGGAGUUGGGCCACCGGCCCAAUAGGCGAGCGGGCGGGCCAGAUUCGGUCUGGGAUGGUAGAUUUGCAUUUCGGCCCUUGGUCUUUCUGUAAUUAAGCGCAUUGUUUACUGUGCUGCGUUUUGCGACUAAGGCCUUGGAAUUGUCAGUUUUGGCUGAAAUCUCGUAUUUUGGCUCAAAAUGGCUUCAGGAAUGUGUUUUUGGGGCUAAUUUUCAUGUUUAGGAAACGUUUAACUUGCCAUCUCUAUGCACAUGCUUGUAUUACCAUGUUUUACCGUUGUUGAUUAAUUGUAAAUAUGCUUUAUUGCUUUUAAUUAUUAAGUAAGACAUGAACUCGUAUGUUUUAAAUAUUGGAACGUUGUUAUGAACAACUAUAUCAUUUUAUCACAUUUAUGCGCUGGGUUACAUGAGGUUACCUCGAGAUUAUAUGUUGAAAUCUCGUAAAAUUUCGCAUUAAUGAUAUGAAUCACAAACCUGCAGUUCGAGGAGCCGACCUAAAAUGGUUGGACUUGAUUUUUGGAUGUGGAUUUGUUCUCGGAGCUUGGUAGCUUUUGAGGAGGUUGAUCGGCUUGGUGUCUUGUUGACUACCGCCACCACCCUGCGAGGAGAACAUUUAGGCAUUGCACCAUCCCUUUGUACUUUUGGACAAGUACAUACAUGUUGGGAAAGUGUUAUGCUUUACCAGAUGGUCCUGGUUCCACAUGUGUUGUUCAUCCUCGCAUGUCAUAAGUAUUUUCAGGUUAUGUAAUAGCGCGAGGUUUAACCUCGCUAUAACUCAGAGGGGGAGGCGCAAAAUGGAAGCACUAACUGAUUCUAUUAAGCUUGGCCAACCCCCGUUGAGUUUGUGCUAUGUGUGCUUUCACACACGUCUCUCCCGACUAUUGCUACCGUGAUAGCUGAUAAUGGGAUGAGGCCAUGCCGAACUGUGACAUAUGCGGAGGAUGAGGACACCAUCGUCAAGUGCACUUGGCCCUCCUAAUGAUUCAUUUGUCAAUUGAUUUUGAUGAUUCUAUGAUAUAAAAUCACCUGAGGUGGUUGUAUAUGCUCUGAGCAAGCAAAACUUGUUCUUUCAACGCUAGGAUGAUUUGUGAGUUCAUCCAUUAAUUCCUUUAUUUAAUACUGAUGGCCUGUUAUGUUCUGAAAUAUGUAAUGCAUUUACUUAAUUAUGUUGCUACUUCCUCGCUUCAUAAAAUAAUUAGAUGCUAUAUUUUAGAACACGUGGCGCUCGAAUGGAGGAAACAUGCCUUGUGGAUAGUUGUACCACAAACACCAUCUUGAGAGAAACUCAUUAUUUCGAGUCCAUUAAAAAGAUUCCGAGGAGUAUAAUGACUAUCGUAGGGGGCGAGUCAAAAAUAGUAGGCUCUGGACGAGCCACUAUCAUACUCCCCAUGGGAACCACUUUCCUCAUUGAGGAAGCAUUAUUGUACUCAGAGUCGACUCGGACUCUCUUGAGUUUUAAGGACAUCCGCGCAAACGGCCUCCAUGUGGAGACCGAUGAUGAUAAUGGCAAAGAGUGCCUACUUAUCACAAAGCGCGAUGCCCACGGUAAGCACGUUGUUGAAAAAUUCCCUUCAUUCGACAAUGGGCUUUACUACACUAAGGUUGUAGCGCCGCCCGUGUACACUACAUUGUCGUAUAAAGUCUAUUCGAAUGGACAACGCUGGAGAAUUUUCUUCAAAAGACUAUAUUUAGAAGUUCUGAACUAUUUUGCUUAUGGCAUGAUAGAUUAGGCCACCCGGGUAUUAGAAUGAUGUGAAAUAUAAUUAACAACUCAAAUGGGCAUGGGGUGAAUGUUAAAAUUUUCCCCAAUCAUGAUGAUUUCGUGUGCUCGGCAUGCGCGACGCGGAAAUUAAUCAUUCGACCAUCACCAUUGAAAGUGAGGGAUGAAAUCCCUGCGUUUUUGGAACGCAUCCAAGGGGAUAUAUGUGGUCCGAUUCAGCCCCUUUCGGAGCCGUUUCGAUACUUCAUGGUGCUCAUAGACACUUCGUCUAAAUGGUCCUGUGUUAAUUUGUUGUCUACACGGAACCAUGCCUUUGCCAAGUUGAUGUCGCAAAUCAUACAAAUGAGGAAUAAUUUUCCGGAUCAUCGUAUAAAGUCUAUUCGAAUGGACAACGCUGGAGAAUUUUCUUCAAAAGCGUUCGAUGAUUAUUGUAUGGCACUUGCCAUUAAGAUUGAGCACUCUGUACCGCAUGUCCAUACGCAAAAUGGACUAGCGGAGGCAUUGAUUAAGAGGAUUAAAUUCAUUGCCAGACCACUCCUUCGGGGUUGUAAUUUACCAACCACGUGUUGGGGGCAUGCAGUGUUGCACGCCGCAAAUCUCAUCAACUAUAGACCCACGGCGUACAACAUCCAUUCACUUGUCCAACUAGCGCAAGGGUCGGCACCGAAAAUUUCCCACCUUCGUAGGUUCGGUUGCCAGGUAUAUGUACCGAUACCAGCCCCUCAGCGAUCAGCAAUGGGACCGCUCCGUAAGUCGGGGAUAUACGUUGGUUAUGAGACUGUGUCCAUAAUCAGGUAUCUAGACCCCAUGACAAGAGACUGUCAUACGGCCCGAUUUGCUGACUGCAUUUUUAACGAGGAUCUCUUCCCGACUUUAGGGGGAGGAAAUAAACCUCUUGAUGAGAAAAGCCGAGAAUUGACGUGGCAAGCCACGGGGAUCCACGCAAAUGACCCGCGCACAAGUGAGACACAUAGAGAAGUCCAAAAGAUAAUAGAUUUGCAUGCUUUAGCGAAUCAACUGCCUGAUCACUUUAGUGACUUGAGAAGUGUGACAAAAUCACAUGUGACUGCGCGCAAUGUACCGGAAAGGGUAGAGAUACCCAAGGAUCCUAUGGGUCUACCCGCUCGAGUCCAAAGGCCUAAAAGGACGAGAAAUCUGGUUCCUCAAAUCCCAAGUACUCGGGGACGCCCGACUGAAAGAUCGGUAUGGUCGACUGGGGGGGGGGGUGAAUAGGCGGCUAACAAAUUUUAUUUUUUCUUUUCACUUUUAAGGAUACAAGCAUCAAUACAUGGGUUCACUAAAACGUCUAAAUGAUGAACACCCUUAGUAUGAUGUAAUAGCCAAAGCACGAGCACAAGCAAUAGAUAAUCAAUAAAAACUUGCUUGAUAACCGAAGCACAAGAUAAACAAUUAAGCUUUGCGAGUAAGUAAAGGGGCAAGAAUGAUACCACACGGGGAGACGAAGAUUUCACCGGAGUUUCACCUAUUGGGGUCGGUGUACAUCUCCGUUUGGAGGAGUGCUCUACCACAAAGGUAGAGGCGCCACAAAGGCUCACUCUAUUCUCCAACUCACCACACCACAAAGGUGGGAUGAGCUCUCACAACACCACAAAGGUGAGGUGAUUUCCACUGGUGGCUUCCUUGAGGGCAAACGUCGAACCGUUACAAACAAGGAGAAGGGCACAACUUCACAACUUAAUUGGAGGCUCCUUCCCGAAUCCUCAAGCACCUCCUCACAAGAUUGGAGGCCUUGAAGAGACACCUUUCGGCUAGGGAUCCCAAAAUCCCAAGAGUAACAAAAUCCACGAAGGAAACAAGGGGAAUCAACUUUUUGCUUUGGUGAAACCCUAGAUCUAGAUCUCCUCAUCCAAUCCUCAAAGAAUCAACAAGGGGGGUAGCUCUAUGGAGGAAGAUAUAGCACUUUAAAGUUUUAGAAAUGGUGUGGAAAGAGUUGGGCUUCGGAUAAGUUCAUCCUGAGGUAGGGGAUGACUAUUUAUGUGGGUCCCGAAAUCUAACCGUUAUGCACUAAGUCUGGCAGGGGAGGAAGUUCCGGUCAUACACCGGAAGUUCCGGUACCCUGGAACUUCCGUCCUUGUUCCUGUCCAACCUCCGCCAAACACAAAUGAAUUCCAGUAGCAUCACGGAGGUGGGCCAGACGUUGGGUGGAAGUUCCGCCCUACUGGAGGUAGGCCGGCAGUUCCGGGCCUGGAACAGACCUGGCAACACAGUUAGACUUUGGGUGGCUCUCUCUCGGACGGGUAGGCUUUAUGUGGGUGCAAAUAUGGUAGUUUGUGUACGUGAAGUGGAUUCACCCAUUACCUUCCCAUGUGGACUCCCUCUUAAUAGUACGGAGUUCCUACGACUCAAUAUAAAUAAAAAGCCGCUAAACACCGCUACGCUUCUUUCCUUUUUGAAGGCAACGAACCGUCUUGUGCCAUAUGAUCUCAAAUCUGAAACACUCGAGCACACGGUUAGUCCACGAGUCAUGUUGUCAUUAACACCAAAACACUUAGGGAUCGAAUUGUCCUUUCACCGACGAAAAAGGACAAGGGGGAUUUGUCACACUCGGUUACUAAAUAGUCCCGAGAGAGUGAGGGGAGCCAAUUGAGACUUGGCACAAGUACGGAAUCUCCAGCGCAAGAAAUUCCGGACUUUAACCUUCUAACAGUGGAAGCACCCAGCGGAGAUGUGAGCGCACACAUCGGCGCAGAAAAACUAAAGGACCUUGCUCCAGGAAUGGGAAAUCCUAUGGAGACAGAGGAUGCGCAUGAUGCGCCCCAUGACGAAAUGGCCAUAGAUUAUGUUAACAUGGGAGAACCAAUAAACCGAGCGACUGCUAAUGUCGACAUAAACUUUGCUAAGAAAAUUGCCGCAAUCAUCGAUCUUGACCCCGAGCCUAACUCGCUCGCUGAUUGUAAGAAGAUGUCGGAUUGGAAAGAUUGGCAGAAGGCAAUAGCUACCAAAUUAUUAUCUCUACAGAAAAGAGAGGUUUUUGGACCUGUGUGCCGAACCCCUCUCCACGUACGCCCUGUCGGCUAUAAGUGGGUAUUUGUCCGCAAGAGAAAUGAAAAUAAUGAGGUAGUACGGUACAAAGCAAGGUUAGUUGCUCAGGGGUUUACUCAACGACCUGAGGUCGAUUAUGAGGAAACCUACUCCCCGGUCAUGGAUGGAAUUACCUUUAGAUAUGGACUUAAAAAUGAAAUUGAUGGAUGUUGUUAUAGCUUACUAUAUGGUAACUUGGAUUCGGACAUUUAUACGAGGAUACCUGAUGGUCUUCCGGUUCCGAACCAAGACAGAGCAAACAGAGGUCUAUACAAUGUUCAACUCAGGAAGUCACUGUACGGACUUAAACAGUGGGGUAGAAUGUGGUAUAAUCGCCUGAGCGAUUUUCUACAUGAAAAGGGCUAAACGAGCAAUGAAGAUUGCCCAUGUGUAUUUAUACGGCGAUCCCAAGAUGGAUUCUGUAUAAUCUCGGUAUACGUAGAUGAUUUGAAUAUCAUCGGUACGUCUGAGGAUAUUGAGGAAGCAAGUUCCUACUUGAAGUCGGAAUUUGAGAUGAAAGAUUUGAGUAAAACCAAGUUCUGUCUAGGUUUGCAACUGGAACAUUCCCAUGAUGGGAUUCUAGUGCACCAGUCUACCUACACUCAAAAGGUGUUGGAAAGAUUUGGAUUUGACAAGGCAUAUCCUUCAAAGACUCCCAUGAUUGGGCGGUCAUUACAGCAGGACACGAACCCUUUCAGUCUGAAAGAAAAGGUGGAGGAAGUUCAGAAUUUCCUUACCUGAGUGCUAUUGGAGCGCUCAUGUACCUCACGAAUUGUACAUGACCGGACAUUGCGUUCGCCGUCAAUUUGCUGGCUAGGUACAGCUCUGAACCUACCAAAAGGCAUUGGAAAGGUGUUAAGAAUGUCUUUCGGUACCUGCAAGGGACCAAAGAUCUUGUGCUAUUUUAUAGAAGAAAUCAAGACCUAUCUUUGAUAGGCUAUGCCGAUGCUGGGUAUUUGUCGGACCCGCAUACAUCCAAGUCUCAGACUGGAUAUGUUUUUCUAUGUGGUGGAACAGUUGUUUCAUAAAAAUCGUCAAAGCAAAGUCUUGUAUCGACUUCGACGAACCACUCGGAAAUCAUAGCACUAUAUGAAGCAUCACGUGAGUGUGUAUGGCUUCGACGGAUGGUUCGCCACAUUCAGCAGACCUGUGGGAUGAACACCGUCCAGACCCUCACCAUUAUCUAUGAAAAUAAUGCAGCUUGUGUUGCACAAGUACAAACGGGUUAUGUGAAGAGUAAUCUCACCGAGCAUAUAAAUCCUAAGUUUUUCUAUGCACAUGAGUUGCAAAAGAUGAAUGAGGUAAAGGUCUUGCAUACUAAGUCGUGUGAAAAUCUUGCUGAUUUGUUCACCAAGUCACUACCGGCAUCCACCUUUGAAAGGUGUGUGCGUGGAAUCGGUAUGUUGAGACUUAGGGAAAUGCAAGGUUCAGGGGGAAAUACUUCACAUACUCAUCGAUAAAUCUUCACAGACCUGUGGUUUUUAACGAGGCAAUCUAUGCAACAUAGCAACGUAUCUUAUGCGCUCUUUCUCCAUGUGUUUUUCCCACCGGGUUUUUUCGGAGUUUUUGAGGCAUAUGGUAUACGGGUAUCGGCCCAAGGAGGAGUGUUGAGGAGCCAACGAUGGGGUGGAGUGGCCACCGAGUCGUGCGCCCCCCACCAACCCCCUGUUGACUCGUUCCUCCACCUAAUAAUUUGUUGUGGGCUCUUAUCCAUUGUUUCUAUACAAAAGAGAGGAGGUUACCCCUUGUACGUACACUUGAGAUCAGAAAUUAAUGAAAAGCUCAUGUUCCUCUCUACUUUUUGAUGUUCAUCUAUUUUACUGUGCUUCGUGAUUGUGUGUGUUCGAUUAGGAUCUUGAUGCAACUUCAGAACCGGACAGCUGGCAGGAGUUGCACAACAAAGCACAAUCCAGGCCAGACUCCAGGUUAACAAAAGCUUGAGAACGGGCCGGAAUCGGGUGCUUCUGACAUGUGGGCCGAACUCCCGGUCGAAGAAGCCCUUUUAAGCACUAGAGAAAUAAAUAUUCGUUUUCCCGAGCCCUAAAGCCCCCUUUUCCUCUUUCCGCAUCGCGAACCCUAACCGAACCCUUGCGCCGCCGCUGCCGCCUCCGUCCGGAUCCAAGCCGCCGCCGACCGCAACCAUGGGCUUCGACGUGGGCGUCGUCCCCUUCAACCCCGACGGCUGGGGCCCUCCUGAGACCCCGGCCGCGCCGCCGUCCCUGGGCGGUGCCACCGCCACGGCCUCCAUCCCCUUCGCGCCCUUCUCCCGCUCCGAUAAGCUGGGCCGCAUCGCCGACUGGACGCGCAACCCCGGCGGCCCCGGGAUGCACCCCGCCGCCUCGCGCGACUCCGUCUUCGACUUCACCUCCGCUGACGACUCCCUCGCCGCCGCGGCCGAGGACUCCUCGUUCCACCUCGUCGACGCCAAGCCGCCGCCGCGACACCCGCGCUUCGGCCCCAAGUGGCGCUUCAACCAGCGCCCGCAGCUCCCCCAGCGCCGCGACGAGGAGGUCGAGGCCAAGCGCCGCGAGGCCGAGAAGGAGCGCGCCCGCCGCGAGCGCCACUACCAGAACCACCGCUCGCACCACCACCAGGGCUUCCGCGGCAACCAGUCCUCCUCCGCCAAGCCUUCCGUCGACAUCCAGCCCGACUGGACCAUGCGUGAGCAGAUCCCCUUCGCCAACUUCACCAAGCUCUCCUUCACCGUCAACGACCAGCCCGAGGAUCUCCUCGUCUGCGGCGCCGUUGAGUUCUACGACCGCGCCUAUGACCGCGUCAACCCCAAGGCCGCCCGCCGCCUCGAGCGCUUCAAGUCCCGCAACUUCUUCAAGGUCACCACCACCGACGACCCUGUCAUCCGCCGCCUCGCCGAGGAGGACAAGGCCACGGUGUUCGCCACCGAUGCAAUCCUGGCUGCUCUCAUGUGCACGCCUCGCAGCAUCCUGUCAUGGGACAUUGUCGUGCAGCGCGUUGGGAACAAGCUCUUUUUUGACAAGCGUGAUGGCUCUCAGCUCGAUCUGCUCACUGUAAAUGAGACUGCCCAGGAGCAGCUCCCUGAGAAUAAGGAUGACAUCAACUCGGCACAUGCUCUUGCGGUCGAGGCGACCUACAUCAACCAGAACUUCUCGCAGCAGGUGCUUGUUCAUGAAGGCGAGAAGGUUACCUUUGAUGAGCCUAACCCGUUUGCAUCUGAGGGCGAGGAUGCGGCAUCCAAUGGCUACCGCUAUCGCCGCUGGAAGCUGGAUGAGGAGAUCAGCAUUAUUGCUCGCUGUGAAGUGCAUGCUGCCAGUGCUGAUGCAAGCGGUGGUCGCCAGUUCUUCACGCUCAAUGCACUCAAUGAGUUUGAUCCUAAGAUUACUGGUGUUGACUGGAGGCAGAAGCUUGAGACCCAGCGCGGGGCUGUGCUUGCUACAGAGCUCAAGAACAAUGCCAACAAACUUGCUCGCUGGACUUGCCAGGCUUUGCUUUCUGGUGCUGACAUGAUGAAGUUGGGUUAUGUGUCACGAGUUCACCCCCGUGAUCACUACAACCAUUCCAUACUCACCGUGAUGGGGUACAAACCAAGGGAUUUUGCUGCACAGAUCAACCUCAACACUGCAAACAUGUGGGGUAUUGUCAAGUCAAUUGUGGACAUAUGCAUGAAGUUUGAAGAAGGCAAGUAUGUGCUUGUGAAAGAUCCUGCGAAGCCACAGGUGAGGAUCUACUCGGUGCCUAAUGAUGCAUUUGAGAAUGAUUAUGUUGAAGAGCCACUGCCGGAGGAGGAGCAGGUUCGGUUACCUACAGAUGAUGUCGACGCCACUGCAGAGGAGAUGGACGCAGCUGCUGAGGCAGAGGCCAAUAAAGCUGCCACAGGCGGUGUGGGUGAGAAGAAUGCCGAAGCUACUGUUGCCUGAAGGGUAUAAUUGGUUAUCUUGCCUUCUCUAGAUAUAUGUCUUCUCUGGUUUAUGAUCUGUUUUGAUGGGUUACUUGAAGAGUUGAACUGCGUGGUAUCGAUACUGUGUUCUCGUUUUGAUCUAUCAGAAAACUGUUGAUUUUCAAUUUUUAUGCUUGGAUGUGCUAAAUUUGUUAGCACCUAUCGAUUGGAUUUAAUGACUAUGCUGGCAGUUUAAUAUCACUUCUAGUGGUUUAUCGACGAUAUUUUUUUCAGCAAGCGUGUAUGCUCGAGUGUUUUUUCAAUCUUUCAUGGAAUGCCUUGGUUCUCAGAAACGUCUAGAUUGCAUUAAGUUAUAUUGCAGUGGAUCAAUUUGUAAAUCAUGUGCUCUGUUGGCCUGAAUAUGUUGCUACUGGAGUCCUGGUCCAUCCUACUUAGAAUCUUACAAGUAUAGGGUUUCAAUCUUUCCAACUUGAACAGACCAGACUUGUACUAGCAAACGGGUAGAUCCAAGUCCAUCAGGUUUUGGCUUGCUCAUGUUGCACGGGCUGCUAGUUUUGUUUUUCUGCUAGAUUUCAGUAUUGCAUAUCACAUCAAUAAACUGUUGUGUUUUGGAUUGAAACGAGUAUGAUGGAUCAGGCAGCUCCAUCACAAGGAUUUCAGGUCCCUUCCCUUAGAAUUGUACUUCGAAUUCUCAUUUUUCAGUUUCAUGCUGCUAUGCAUCCAGUAUGCUUCUGAGUGCUGGUUAGAUGCAAGUCAACUGUGCUAUAAGCAAGUACUCGCUCCGUUCCUAAAUACUUGUGGCCGUUUUAGUUCAUGUUUGCACUAAAACAGCAACAAGUAUUUAGGAACGGAGGAGCUACCUUGUAGCUUAUCCUACUAACACUAUUAAACUGAAGAGUAUGUUCUGUCCUGUCCAUUGCUUCAGUUCCAAUUCUAGCAGCAUUGGAGAAUACGAAGUGGGGGUUCCUGUAUUUAGUAUAGGAGUUCACUCAUAGUCUUUUAAGCGUGAGGUGUGGCCGUGAGCCUGUAUAGAAUACAAAUAGUGCCAGCCAGCCAAACCAAGCUAGUUCAAGAGGAUCAAAUGGGUAUUUUGGGGCUAAAAGCACAAAUUCAGGCCUGCUCUCUGUUCACUCCCGGGUUAUGCCAAACCUUUGACAGCAUGGAGAGAAGAGCCUGCGCCGUUGUUUGCAAAUCAGAACGCUUCGGUUGGGGGGCCUGGGGGCUCGCAUGAGGAAAAGGUUUCAUGGAGAAUUCAGAAGAAGCGAUAGGCCAGGUUACUCUGAUUCUUCAAGCUUUAAAAUUGCCUCCGUAAUGCUCCUUCAGCACUGAAGAAUCCUGGCCUAAGCAAUAGAACUGAAGAAUCAUGCGUUAUGUAUGACCCCGCUUCAAAGCAAGCCGUGCCUUUCAGUGUAGCUGUCACACGCCAUUCAUUCAGUGCCCCCUCG